RNAcentral lists this ribosomal RNA (2572 nucleotides) under Triticum aestivum (bread wheat). RNAcentral describes it as "partial small subunit ribosomal RNA". The record is from RNAcentral. Lineage: Eukaryota; Viridiplantae; Streptophyta; Magnoliopsida; Poales; Poaceae.
CCUAUUCCGCGACGAGGCAAAGCAAGACCCCUUUAAAGGGGUUAAGGGCGUGGGCUUUAGGGAUCGAAGGUUACCCUCCGCGCUCGCAAUGAAGGUGGUGGUACAGGGAGCUGCGCCGCUCACUUCUGCCGCCAUCAAGCAGCCGCCGCGAGUAGCGGCCGCUACCUAGCUCCGCAUCGAACGAACGCUCCCGUAUAAGCGUACUCCAAACCGCAGUCCCGCUCGGCACAGGACGAGCGGGCGUGAGGUAGGUACCUACGUCAUCUCCGAGUGAUGGCGCCAGGUCAGGACGUCCGGUGACGCCAUCCACUGCUCCUCCUCCGACACUGCGGCCGACGAGACGACCGGCGGUAGCUCCUCGCGACGCCGCACAACGGUCGCCUCCACUCGUAGCUCCAACGCACGGGGGGCGUACUGUACACCAACGAAAAGAGUUGCUUCCUCUUCACGUGCUACCACGAGGUUGGUAGCUACUUCGAGUUCACGACAGCGACCACCUAAGUCAAACUCGCCACCCACUCUCUCUAGGCACCGUGUGGCCCACGGGACCUCAUGUUCAGGUUCGAUUCAAAGCUUCCGGAGGGACUAGUUCGUACCAGCUCCGUAAGUCACCUUCCUCACGACCUCCUGAACCCGCCGCUCUACUAUCUCUAAUAUGGCGGCUUCUUGGCUGCACUCGAGCUCCAUUACCGCCGAGGCACUGGGCAGCUUUCAGCCCUUCCACCAACUGCACCUCUAUGGGCGCGGUUUCGAACGCAACACGUGUCUAGGCGGAGGUGUCAGAAACCUUCUCAAACAACGCGCACUUCACCGCAGACUCAUGCCUGGUAGUAGCGGCUUCUUCUUCUUCUGCUAACAGAUAGGUCACUAGAGAGUGUACUUCCAAUGACUAGCACCAGGAGACGAGCGACUUCUGGACGGCCUACUUACCGACGGGUUGCUUCCCCUCCUAGACUGCGCAUUCGUGUCUAAGUGGUGUCACGAACCGUUUCACCUACCGUGAUAGAUACUAAUAGCUCGAUAGAUCAAAUAAACACAACAAAUAGUUACUUGCGUAGUCAAAUAGAUACAUCAAUGACUUGGUCAUAGAGACAAAGACUUAAACCAUACAAGCCACGGGAAAACACUUGAACCAUACAUUAUAAGUCAACAAUAUAAUAGAUACCUACUUGAACCAUAGAUUAUACGUCAUUAACAGUAUAAUAGAUACUUCGAUACGUACUCAAGUACUACUACUUUACUUUAAUAUACAACGAUUGACAACACACAGUCUUAUUCUUACGUUGCAUCACGUAGUAGAUUCACAUGACAUCGAGUAGGUUGUUGGUGUAAAGUGACACGGUGUAAAGUAUUGAUUUCACGUAAUGUUCUAGUAUAUCGACUAUCUCUCGUGAAAUCAUGUAUUAGACCUCGUAGAGUUUUGAUGUUACGUAUGAUCUUCAAAAUCUAGAUCAUCAUUAUUGUAUAAUGUUUUCUGAACUGGUGUACUAGACCUCGUAGAGUGUUUGAUGUCACGUGUGAUCUUCAAAAUCUAGGUCAUGAUUAUUGUAUGAUGUUUUCUGAACUGGUGUACUAGACCUCGUACUAGUGUUUGUCUUGUACAAGUAAUUGUACAAGACGUCGACUAGUAUUCGUUUUGUGUUUUAUUUUACUAUAUAAAAUGAGGUCGAUCUGGACGUACAGAGAAAAGGAUAGAGCCAAGUAUUUUGUACAAGUGAGAAGAUCCAAGAAAUUUAGGAGAGAACAACGAUGAACUUCAACCACGUGAAGAGAAGUAAGCACAACCAAACCUGACUGUACACUAUGCAGGUAAAAAGUAGUACGAAAAUAUACCUAUAAAUAACGUAAUACCCGACAAUAAUGUGUAAUAUAGUGUUAUGAAUACGGAAAAGAGAGAAUAAAAUAUUCCAAAUGUACUUCUCCCUCUUUACGGCCGUCGACCUUAAGACCUGACCUUUUCCUCGUUUAUAAUCUCUGGAUAAGACGUGUUGAGGUCUUCAGGACUUUGAAGUGCCUCUUAUAAAAACCUUAUAUAUUUUUUAUAACCCACUUCUUUCGUGGUCUAUCCCCGGUGGACGGUAGGUGUUCCUACCCCCCGCGCGGGAUGGGGGACCCGCGCGAUGGACAUAAACCCGGUGGAUCGUCCGGGGGCUGCGGGUAGAAGACGAUAUACCACACAAAACUGGACCUUUUUUUAGUCUUCCUUCGAAAGCACUGCUUCGUGGCGACAGAGUUCCGCUUUGAAUCCGUCUUGGUUAGAUCCCGAGGCCGCCUCGACAAGACGGCCCCUUUGAAGGGAGGCCCUCCCCCUUUAGUAGCGGUAGCAGUAGUGGUUACUAGGAGAGUAGCUCUCCCCCAAUUAGAGGUAGUUGUAGAAGUGGUCGUGGUAGAGGAGAGUUUCGGAUCUAGUAGAGAACAUAGGCUAUGAACAGAGUUUUGGAGCCUAUCCAUGGACACCCAACGAUCAUCACAACUAAUGAGGAACAUCAACUACGAUCAACCAAAUAAGUCACCUCCUGUAUACAAGUCUAGGAAUUACUAUUAAAUUAUGAGGAGAUUAAUACUUGUACUU